GACGAACCGAGCGAACGUUGUUCGGAAUCACUGGGCUUAAAGGGCGCGUAGGCGGGUGUGUAAGUCUGCGGUGAAAUCCUCCAGCUUAACUGGAGAAGUGCCGUGGAUACUGCUCAUCUUGAGGAGGGUAGGGGCAUCUGGAACCGUCGGUGGAGCGGUGAAAUGCGUUGAUAUCGACCGGAACUCCGGUGGCGAAGGCGAGGUGCUGGACCCUUUCUGACGCUGAGGCGCGAAAGCCAGGGGAGCAAACGGG
Molecule: ribosomal RNA, 253 nt
Filed under: uncultured bacterium
Lineage: Bacteria
Description: partial 16S ribosomal RNA
Rfam family: Bacterial small subunit ribosomal RNA
Source: RNAcentral